CAGUACCCAGGAAAUCUGCGGAUUGUAG
Molecule: small RNA, 28 nt
Filed under: Plasmodium falciparum 3D7
Lineage: Eukaryota; Apicomplexa; Aconoidasida; Haemosporida; Plasmodiidae
Description: Pfa-raR6327b
Source: RNAcentral